UCUAGAGUGACUCAGCUGACUUGGGUGAAUGUCCCCUGAAACUGCUAGCUGGAAACCAGCCUGGACAUGUCCUGUCACUCCUACCACCAGGGAACUUCUUUUGCUGUGACAUUGUAAUGGGAGGUGGAGACACCUCGAGGAGAAGGUCGAAACAGACAACAGCAAUUACAGUCAAUAAUAUCUAUGACUUGAGAAAAUGUUGCCUCAAUUACAGAAAGCUCAGGAGGACUGUCCACCCUUCAAAACUGUUUUGAUGUGUUUUAAAUGCAUGAUAUGGAGCACAGCCACUCUCAGUAGGCUGCAGAAAAAGGACGUAAA
Long non-coding RNA from Athene cunicularia (burrowing owl), 318 nucleotides. RefSeq lists it as uncharacterized. The transcript is spliced from 3 exons. NCBI's taxonomy places the organism in Eukaryota, Metazoa, Chordata, Aves, Strigiformes, Strigidae. The record is from RefSeq and is a predicted model, not a curated record.